This 462-nucleotide ribosomal RNA is filed under the name uncultured bacterium. RNAcentral's name for it is "bacterial SSU rRNA". It matches the Rfam family "Bacterial small subunit ribosomal RNA", at positions 28 to 507 of the family's 1533-position model. The record is from RNAcentral.
GACGAACGCUGGCGGCGUGCCUAACACAUGCAAGUCAACGGGUGAGAGGAGCUUGCUCCUCGAUCUAGUGGCGAACGGGUGAGUAACGCGUGAGAAACCUGCCUUUCAGUGGGGGACAACAGUUGGAAACGACUGCUAAUACCGCAUAAUGUGCCGGGAGGGCAUCCUCCUGGUACCAAAGCUUUAUGUGCUGAAAGAUGGUCUCGCGUCUGAUUAGCUAGAUGGCGGGGUAACGGCCCACCAUGGCGACGAUCAGUAGCCGGUCUGAGAGGAUGAACGGCCACAUUGGGACUGAGAUACGGCCCAGACUCCUACGGGAGGCAGCAGUGGGGAAUAUUGGGCAAUGGGGGAAACCCUGAUGCAGCGACGCCGCGUGAGUGAAGAAGUAAUUCGUUACGUAAAGCUCUAUCAGCAGGGAAGAAAAUGACGGUACCUGACUAAGAAGCCCCGGCUAACUACGUG